Molecule: transfer RNA, 72 nt
Filed under: Camelus bactrianus (Bactrian camel)
Lineage: Eukaryota; Metazoa; Chordata; Mammalia; Artiodactyla; Camelidae
Also listed under: 2 other names
Rfam family: tRNA
About the family: Transfer RNA (tRNA) molecules are approximately 80 nucleotides in length. Their secondary structure includes four short double-helical elements and three loops (D, anti-codon, and T loops).
Source: Rfam by way of RNAcentral
GGGGGUAUAGCUCAGUGGUAGAGCGUGUGCUUAGCAUGCACAAGGUCCUGGGUUCAAUCCCCAGUACCUCCA